UCCAGUUCUUUUUGUGUUCGAGAAAGUUUCCACUUUCAUCGUCACAGAAGACAAGAAAGAAGAAGAAGCCGCCGCCUCUGAAGCAGAGGCAACAACAGCUGCUCCUGUUGAGGUGAAGGAGAAAGAGAUAGUUGUUGAAGCAGAAGCAAAGAAAGAGGAAGAACCAGCACCAGCACCUGCGGCGACACCUGCAGCUGAGGUGGCACCUGCUGAGGUAGCACCUGCAGCUGACGUGGCACCUGCCAAGGUGGAAGAAGCACCUGCAGCAGUAGCAGCACCGGAACCACCAAAAGCUUGAUGAAUCUAUCAAUUUGUUUGUCUCUCUGUGUAAGAGUUGAUUUUUUUUUAAUUUUUUUUUGUAUUUUAAUUUUUCUAUGUUUUGUGGUCACUGUAUAAGAAAGAAGACAA
Molecule: long non-coding RNA, 408 nt
Filed under: Nicotiana tabacum (common tobacco)
Lineage: Eukaryota; Viridiplantae; Streptophyta; Magnoliopsida; Solanales; Solanaceae
Description: long non-coding RNA (NTAB_LNC000087)
Source: RNAcentral